UGUGAUUGGUCAAUCUGCCUCGGUGGCAGCUGCAACUCGUUGGCAAUCAUGCAGCUGUGACUCAUUACCUAGUUAAGGGCCUGUAUGAGGGUCUGACUUCCUGGGCAUGAGAGAGAGGACUAAAUACUGCUCAUAAUGUGGCAACCAUUUGGGCUCUCAGAGUAUCUGUAAGAAUGAUUACACUGACCUAGCUUAAGUAAUUCAAGCUGAAAGACCCUGUGUAGCGCAGGCCUCCCGCUUGCCCAGUGCUCUCGCGGCCAGAGAAGCGCUCACAGCGCAGUCUUACCUGUUUCUCUGCUCCAGAGGUCCAGAACGUCUGCCUGAUCCCCGCCUGCAGAAUGCUGGAGAGGCCCUCCAUGCUGAAGCGCUGUUAGAAAUCAUAUGCUCAGCCGAGGCUGCUAAAGCACUGCAGCAGUCUCCAUCAGCGGAGACGUGGCCUGUCCCAGGGGGCGGGGCCGGCUGUACCUUCGCAUGAGCUGUUGUUGUUGGAGGCCCGAGACAACACCCUG
Anguilla rostrata (American eel) is the source of this 509-nucleotide long non-coding RNA. RefSeq lists it as uncharacterized. The transcript is spliced from 3 exons. NCBI's taxonomy places the organism in Eukaryota, Metazoa, Chordata, Actinopteri, Anguilliformes, Anguillidae. The record is from RefSeq and is a predicted model, not a curated record.